AUUGAACGCUGGCGGCAUGCUUUACACAUGCAAGUCGAACGGCAGCGCGGGCUUCGGCCUGGCGGCGAGUGGCGAACGGGUGAGUAAUGCAUCGGAACGUGCCCAGUAGUGGGGGAUAGCCCGGCGAAAGCCGGAUUAAUACCGCAUACGACCUGAGGGUGAAAGCGGGGGACCGAAAGGCCUCGCGCUAUUGGAGCGGCCGAUGUCGGAUUAGCUAGUUGGUGGGGUAAAGGCUUACCAAGGCGACGAUCCGUAGCUGGUCUGAGAGGACGACCAGCCACACUGGGACUGAGACACGGCCCAGACUCCUACGGGAGGCAGCAGUGUGGAAUUUUGGACAAUGGGGGCAACCCUGAUCCAGCCAUGCCGCGUGCGAGAAGAAGGCCUUCGGGUUGUAAACCGCUUUUGUUCGGGAAGAAAUCCUCUGGGCUAAUACCCCGGGGGGAUGACGGUACCGGAAGAAUAAGCACCGGCUAACUACGUG
Molecule: ribosomal RNA, 484 nt
Filed under: uncultured bacterium
Lineage: Bacteria
Description: partial 16S ribosomal RNA
Rfam family: Bacterial small subunit ribosomal RNA
Source: RNAcentral